ACCCUCAAAUCCUGCUCCUCUUUUGUUUUAUAAAUAGCACAUCCACCUGAGAUCAUGUACAUUCUGAAUAAAGAAAGAGACUCUUCCACUGUGUUAAAUAGCAUAGAGAUGCAUUUACAACCUGAAGUGUGAGAAGUUCACCACCAGCUGGGGACUGAGACCAAAUGGCUUUUUCGCUGCUGUCAGGCUGCUCUGUUGCAGGACUUGGUGUGCACUGCAGAUCUCACACCUCUGACAAUCUUAACCAGAUGGGAUGAGGGCCGUUUAGGUGGAAGACUCUUAGAAGCAGCUCCAGGUGGAAGAGCCCCACAGCCACAUCUGCAACCUUUCUGAAACAUCUGUGGAAACCCUUUAGGGUUAGUUGGUAUCUUUAUUUAGGAAAUUUGUCCAGCAAAUAAAUGCACUGUCUCUUUGCAAUUUAUGACUUACCACUGGACUUCUUUGAUAACUUGCCCUGACUUCAGAAAGAAACACUCCAUCUCACAAUAUCCUCACUGAGUCACUGACAAGGGACUGAGAAUUGCUUUUUAAAUGGUCAGGUGAGGCCAGUAGGUACUUUUGAAUCAACAAUGCACUAAGAGGAGUCUAGAGGAUCAUAGUUGCUUGCAAUUUUGGUGUUCUUUCUAGAUGUUCCAGACUUG
RNAcentral lists this long non-coding RNA (641 nucleotides) under Canis lupus familiaris (dog). RNAcentral describes it as "lncRNA (ENSCAFG00040025595.1)". Lineage: Eukaryota; Metazoa; Chordata; Mammalia; Carnivora; Canidae. The record is from RNAcentral.